RNAcentral lists this long non-coding RNA (209 nucleotides) under Elaeis guineensis (African oil palm). Its description in RNAcentral is "long non-coding RNA (EGUI_LNC051636)". The record is from RNAcentral. Lineage: Eukaryota; Viridiplantae; Streptophyta; Magnoliopsida; Arecales; Arecaceae.
CCACUUGAGUUCGUAGAACUUCUUAGUUCCGAGGCCUCAGCAAAUGGGUUGGUUAAGUUCUCCUUUUUCAUCGAUCUUCCAAAGAUUGAUGUCACCCUGAUCUAAAAUCAAAAGUGAUAGCAAUACAGAGUAUGCUGGUCCUUCAGUUUUUUAGCCAGAUUUAUGGCUCCAGUGCUACGAUAGGACUGGACCAUUAGUGGAGGGUGCCA